UCAGAUUCUCGACAAUCUGUACCUGGGAAGUCUCAGGCAAGCUUCAAAUGCCGAACUCUUAAAGGAAUUAAAGAUCACUCACAUAUUGGCUGUCGGUCAAGAACUACCCUUGAAAUUUCC
This 120-nucleotide non-coding RNA is filed under the name Protocruzia adhaerens. The record is from RNAcentral. Lineage: Eukaryota; Ciliophora; Spirotrichea.